Long non-coding RNA from Nilaparvata lugens (brown planthopper), 706 nucleotides. RefSeq lists it as uncharacterized. The record is from RefSeq and is a predicted model, not a curated record. The transcript has 2 exons. Lineage: Eukaryota; Metazoa; Arthropoda; Insecta; Hemiptera; Delphacidae.
AGUGAGUAUAGAAUGUAAUAUUUAUACAUUCAUUUGAAUGUUAUACUCACUGGUUACAACUUCGGUCUGCUAGCCCCGCCUAGUUCAUGGGUUCGAAUCCCGCCGAUGGCAAGGACGUUUGAUCAUCUCAUCAAUUCACCAACGCACUUUACAUUACCCACGCACAAGCAAAAUGCUCAUGUGAGCAUCAUCCGCAUUAAAAAUUUGAUGAAAUCGAUUUUUGUGUCCUAUUUUUGUGACACCGAAAUCAGAAUAAAUCUCAGUUUAUUAAAUGUCUGGCUGCCCGUAAGUUUCGCUUGAGUGAAAUAAAGUGAGUGAGACAGACUCUAGUUUACUGUGGAUUGAAGCAGGAAACUGAGUCUAUAAAUGAGUACGCAUCGAAAUUUGUUUGCUAUCUUAUCUCCCUCCACCCAGCUGAAAAAUGAUAACACAUUGAGCUUCAAGAAUAGCCUUGUAUCAACAACUGACAAAUUUUAUCCCAAGCUAUUAGCUUAGUUUGCGGCCAGAUUUAGUAAUAAGCGUUUGUCACUCGCGAAAUUUCGAACGAAAGAUUUUAUAUUGAUGUUUGAUUCAAACUGUGGCGGUUUUCUGUGUUUAUAGUUGUGCGUGUUUCUUAUAAAAUCGCUCAAGAAUUGUCAUAGUCCAUCAAACAAAUCCAAUAUCAUCAGCGCAAUUCCUAGUCUGGAUCAAAGAAACCUUCACUAGA